GCGGACGUGGCGGAAUUGGCAGACGCGCUAGAUUCAGGCUCUAGUGUCAGCAAUGACUUGGAGGUUCAACUCCUCUCGUCCGCA
Molecule: transfer RNA, 84 nt
Filed under: Planctomycetota bacterium
Lineage: Bacteria; Pseudomonadati; Planctomycetota
Also listed under: 2 other names
Description: Planctomycetes bacterium (activated sludge metagenome) tRNA-Leu
Rfam family: tRNA
About the family: Transfer RNA (tRNA) molecules are approximately 80 nucleotides in length.
Source: RNAcentral